GAUGAACGCUGGCGGCGUGCCUAAUACAUGCAAGUCGAGCGAACGGACGAGAAGCUUGCUUCUCUGAUGUUAGCGGCGGACGGGUGAGUAACACGUGGAUAACCUACCUAUAAGACUGGGAUAACUUCGGGAAACCGGAGCUAAUACCGGAUAAUAUUUUGAACCGCAUGGUUCAAAAGUGAAAGACGGUCUUGCUGUCACUUAUAGAUGGAUCCGCGCUGCAUUAGCUAGUUGGUAAGGUAACGGCUUACCAAGGCAACGAUGGAUAGCCGACCUGAGAGGGUGACCGGCACCACUGGAACGGGGACACGGUCCAGACUCCUACGGGAGGAAGCAGUAGGGAAUUUGGCGCAAUGGGCGAAAGCCUGACGGAGCAACGCCGCGUGAGUGAUGAAGGUCUUCGGAUCGUAAAACUCUGUUAUUAGGGAAGAACAUAUGUGUAAGUAACUGUGCACAUCUUGACGGUACCUAAUCAGAAAGCCACGGCUAACUCCGUG
This 497-nucleotide ribosomal RNA is filed under the name uncultured bacterium. RNAcentral describes it as "partial 16S ribosomal RNA". It matches the Rfam family "Bacterial small subunit ribosomal RNA", at positions 28 to 507 of the family's 1533-position model. The record is from RNAcentral.